RNAcentral lists this long non-coding RNA (1047 nucleotides) under Oryctolagus cuniculus (rabbit). RNAcentral's name for it is "lncRNA (ENSOCUG00000037342.1)". Lineage: Eukaryota; Metazoa; Chordata; Mammalia; Lagomorpha; Leporidae. The record is from RNAcentral.
AUGCCAGAUUUUGUGGGAUUUAUAGCCCACGGGCCGGUGUUGCCAUCCUUCCAGAGGCUUGAAUUCUGUUACCAAGAGCCUUGCCGCUCUUCUUUUUGCCAGUGUGGGUUCUUACCACAGGGCCCUGUGCUGUCCGUGUGCUUGCGUGCUCUGCCGCACUGCGGGGCCCUGCGCUGUCCGUGUGCUCGCGUACUCUGCCACACUGCGGGGCCCUGUGCUGUCCGUGUGCUCACGUGCUCUGCCGCACUGUGGGGCCCUGUGCUGUCCGUGUGCUCGCGUACUCUGCCACACUGCGGGGCCCUGUGCUGUCCAUGUGCUCGUGUGCUCUGCCGCACUGCGGGCCCUGUGCUGUCCGUGUGCUCGCGUGCUCUGCCGCACUGUGGGGCCCUGUGCUGUCCGUGUGCUCACGUGCUCUGCCGCACCGUGGAGCCCUGUGCUGUCCGUGUGCUCGCGUGCUCUGCCACACCGUGGAGCCCUGUGCUGUCCGUGUGCUCGCGUGCUCUGCCGCACCGCGGGGCCCUGUGCUGUCCGUGUGCUCGCGUGCUCUGCCGCACCGCGGGGCCCUGUGCUGUCCGUGUGCUCGCGUGCUCUGCCGCACCGCGGGGCCCUGUGCUGUCCGUGUGCUCGCGUGCUCUGCCGCACCGCGGGGCCCUGUGCUGUCCGUGUGCUCGCGUGCUCUGCCACACUGCGGGGCCCUGUGCUGUCCUUGUGCUCAUGUGCUCUGCCACACUGCGGGGCCCUGUGUUGUCCAUGUGCUCACGUGCUCUGCCACACUGCGGGGCCCUGUGUUGUCCGUGUGCUCGCGUGCUCUGCCACACUGCAGGGCCCUGUGUUGUCUGUGUGCUCGCGUGCUCUGCCACACUGCGGGGCCCUGUGCUGUCCGUGUGCUCACAUGCUCUGCCGCACUGUGGGGCCCUGUGCUGUCCGUGUGCUCACGUGCUCUGCCGCACUGUGGGGCCCUGUGCUGUCCGUGUGCUCGCGUGCUCUGCCGCUCUGCAGGCUUCUUCAGGAGGUUCUUUCAAGCUUGCAGACAGGUCUAAGAGUUAA